CGAAAGCCUGACGGAGCAAUACCGCGUGAGGGAGGACGGCCUAUGGGUUGUAAACCUCUUUUUUCAGGGAGGAAUCAAUGACGUGUACCUGAAGAAUAAGCAUCGGCUAACUCCGUGCCAGCAGCCGCGGUAAGACGGAGGAUACAAGCGUUAUCCGGAAUUAUUGGGCGUAAAGCGUCCGCAGGCGGCCAAUUAAGUCUGCUGCCAAAGCCUAGGGCUCAACCCUAGAUCGGCAGUGGAAACUGGUUGGCUAGAGUACGGUAGGGGUAGAGGGAAUUCCCAGUGUAGCGGUGAAAUGCGUAGAUAUUGGGAAGAACACCAGUGGCGAAGGCGCUCUACUGGGCCGAAACUGACGCUGAGGGACGAAAGCUAGGGGAGCG
This 380-nucleotide ribosomal RNA is filed under the name uncultured cyanobacterium. RNAcentral's name for it is "bacterial SSU rRNA". It matches the Rfam family "Bacterial small subunit ribosomal RNA", at positions 376 to 770 of the family's 1533-position model. Lineage: Bacteria; Bacillati; Cyanobacteriota. The record is from RNAcentral.